RNAcentral lists this long non-coding RNA (566 nucleotides) under Phasianus colchicus (ring-necked pheasant). RNAcentral describes it as "lncRNA (ENSPCLG00000000810.1)". Lineage: Eukaryota; Metazoa; Chordata; Aves; Galliformes; Phasianidae. The record is from RNAcentral.
AUGAAAGAAGUGUCCCUCCCUCAUCUUAGAUACUGUCCUGUACAGGAGGAGGUGAAAACAGAUGGACGUUGGCCACACACCAGCAAAAGAAGUUUGCUAAUUUCUGUCACAUGCAUUAUGUCAAGAGUGAAAUUAAUAUCAGCUAUAGCAUUUGAGUACCAGUUAAUUCUCAUCCUUCUGAUGAAAAUGCUCAAAAAGAAAGGAACUGAGAGGAAGGAAACCUCCAUCUGUUGAGAAGAAAAAAAGAUUUCAGUGUAAAUGAAGAGUAGUUUCAUAGCAGUCUCUGGCUGGUGACUUGAGAAUGGCAGGGCUGAUACAUCUGCAAAGGUAAAAAAAACAACCUUGUGAGUGACAGCAGAAAAAAUUCCUGACAGAAUACUGAGGCAUUUCUACCUGUCCUUAAGAUCUGGUCAAUAUAUUUUUCUAAACAAAACCAACUUGAUGCUAAGGUUAGUGGAAAACUUUUUGAUAUGUAGAAAUACACGUGUACACACGCAAGCACUUUGUAUUUACAACAAAACACUUCUAUUAUUAUGGAAAUAAAUAUGUUACAUCCUCCUAUGGCA